GAUAUCCCAUACGUAAGUACUGAAGACCCCUUGAAGACUACAAGGUUGAUAGGCUGGGUGUGUAAGCAUGGCAACAUGUUGAGCUUACCAGUACUAAUAGGUCGUGAGGCUUAGCCAC
RNAcentral lists this ribosomal RNA (118 nucleotides) under Desulfobacter hydrogenophilus. RNAcentral describes it as "partial 23S ribosomal RNA". It matches the Rfam family "Bacterial large subunit ribosomal RNA", at positions 2808 to 2925 of the family's 2925-position model. Lineage: Bacteria; Pseudomonadati; Thermodesulfobacteriota; Desulfobacteria; Desulfobacterales; Desulfobacteraceae. The record is from RNAcentral.